AAAAUUUGAAGUUUGUAAGGCAGUAGAAAACGAAGAAGAAGCACUAUGUAUUGAAAUUAGAAAAUAUAAGCUUCUCUACAAACAGAAGUAACAAAGGAUAACAUGACAAAUGAACUAUGCAAGCAAUGAAACAAACACCGGACAGAUUAAAGCCAGACUUGAGUAAUACAAAAUAAAUGACAAUAAUUAAAAAUAUUGUUACAGGACAAUUGUGAUAGAAGGAUACAGAAAAAAGAGAAAUGUGAACAUCAUAACUUCACAAGGAAUACAAAUCUAGAACUUGCACUUAGAUUAUUGUUUUCUACAUGUAAUCUUGAGUAAUAUUUGGGAUAAGAUUAAAUUCACAAUGACAUUGAAAAAAAGAGAAUUGCAAUAUUUGACCAUUUAGACUUUCUCCGGAUAUCAAAGGCUCCGUUACAAAACCAAACAUUCAAGUCAUUAUUAAUGUCAUUGAUCUACACAUCUAAUGAAUCUAGAAACUUAUGGUUUUUCCUCAAAAUUAUCUGGAAAAAUACUGCAGAUAUUAGGAGUCAUAUUACCCUAAAAGAAAACACUGAAGAUGCAUGGAAAUGCAAACCCAUGAUUCGAGAGCAGAGAGAUAUUUUUUUAGAGUAUCCUUCAGCAUUCAAAGAUUGUCAUGUUACUGGUAGAACAAGAAAAGGAAUAGUAUAUAGAAUCUUAAUUGAAUAAGGACUGUACUGUAGUGUCUAUAAAUAGGGGGUUAGUGUAAAAAUAUAGAUACACAAUUCAAUAAUACUUUUCUUCUUUAUUUCUACAUGGUACCAGAACCAUCAUACAAUAUUAUCACUGUGCAAUUUUGUCCCGAUGACGGCAGAUUAUUCCACCAUUGUUAGACGGCCAGAAUCUGAUUGCUACAGGUGUUGUGCAAAAUCUGAUAACACCAUCAGGUCCAUCUUCCAGUGACCAAAACCCCACCAGCACCGCCCAAACCGACAUCCCAAGCGCCUCCACUCACCAACCAGAAGGACAUCACCCCCGGCGAGAUCUACCCACGCACUGGCGCGAGAGGCUUGUUCCGAGCAGUUUUUCGAGCAAUUCUUUCAGAAGGCCUCCACUCACCAACCAGAAGGACAUCACCCCCGGCGAGAUCUACCCACGCGCUGGCGCGAGAGGCUUGUUCCGAGCAGUUUUUCGAGCAAUUCUUUCAGAAUAGGUUAGACCAGUCCUUGUGAGCCUAUCCAUCAAUUUUGCAUUCCAGUCUGUUUUCUGACAACAUGUUAGUUUUCUGGUGAACUUUUUGACCUUCAAGACAACCAGUGGUUACCAGCAGUUUUGUAGACCCC
Molecule: long non-coding RNA, 1304 nt
Filed under: Capsicum annuum
Lineage: Eukaryota; Viridiplantae; Streptophyta; Magnoliopsida; Solanales; Solanaceae
Description: long non-coding RNA (CANN_LNC021603)
Source: RNAcentral